CCAGCACAGACUUACCGCGAGGAUCAAUGAGGGUAAUGGGUGACAAACAUUUCAUCGAGGGCGGGAACAUGGUGAGCGCACGGGGAAGGUUCCUGCCUUUAAUGCCAUCACAGUCCCAUUUAAUACUCCUGCACCUUCACAUCGCCACUCGAGCCCCUGCACACCAUCCAGGAUCAUUUUUGUCUUUUACUCCUCGUCACAGCUGCCCACAAGUGGCUCCAGGCAGGGACCCGCGGGGCUGCAGGGCCGGGUGGCGCCAGCAUCCUCCCAGUGCCCCCGCACGCCCCGCCCCCCACGCCCAGCUUGCUAACGCCCCCGUUCCAGGCGGCUCUGUGAGAACAGCGAUAAAAACAGCAGCUCUUAAUCUCCUGCCUGCCGCCUGUGGCUUUAUCUCAGCCCCUCCUCCUGGGCUGCUGGGGGCUGGAGGGGAGAUGGGCAGAUUAAGAGCAGCGUUUCCGACAUGCCCUCCCACCUCCGGCAAAGUGGGGCCCGCCGCCAGCAGACUUCCUCAAAGCCCAGCGAGGCCGCCGGAGGAAUGCGCGGCCUCCCUGGCAUGGCAGACAUUCAAGGAGCCCACAAAGACGCUGUUAUGAAAACGCUCCCGAGCUCGGGGUAGGACGGGAGAGUUUCCUUUGCCAUCGGGAUUGCACAUUUCAAGAACAGGAGCUGGGCGACAGAAUGCACGCCUGUGAACACACACGGCUCAUAACUAAUUCAUUUCACCUCCUCCUAUUGGAAAAAUAUUGCAGGGGAUGUGGGGGGAGGGAGUGGGGCGGGCGGAACCGCUGGUCUGAACAGGUAGCUGUUUCUUUGCCUGGGGCUCAGCCUGGCUGAGAACCAACCUGUCAAAAGUGGAAGUUGAAGGUCAGGUAACUAUUGUGCCGUCAACAGCCAGCUUGGCGUUCCUCCGAGUGACCUCCCAGACUGGCCUUCUCUGCCUGCCUUCUGUGUGGUCUUUUCAUUCUUGGACAGGAUUGUCUUUGAACAGCUAAAAACCAGAAAUAGAGCUGAGGACCACAACUUAGCUACUAGGCACUUCCCGGCAACUCCUCACAUGUUCCCCUGCUCAGGAUGCCGGUGGUACCCGCCAGGGCCUGCGCCAGGGCCCCUCCCUCCCCUCAGGCACCUUACAGUCCAGCGGGGAGGGGGCAUGUCGACAGAAGAGGAUAAACUGCAUUUCGGAUCAUGAACAGACUUGCUGGUGCUAAACGGGCCUUGUUGGGUGAAACCUCCUGCCUCCCUCGAAAUCACAUUGUUUGGAUUAAACGUACAAAGACAUCAGACAAACCUACGACACCACCACAGGCCAUUAUCGCUAAUGGAUGGGAUAUGGGGUUAAGUCAGUCAAAUCCCUGCUCUGAGCCCAGAAAAGUCCAUGGAAACCAAAUCCUGGUCACCAGAUUGAAAUCGAAAUCAGGUUUAAGUAGAGAGAUGGAGAGACGAAUGGAAGGCCACUUGAACGGAUCAUUUGGGGAUCACCCUGACCCACUGCGCUGUACCCCUCCCCACAGGGGCCCCUGGAGGCCAUAUGUGAACAGUGUGGCCCUUCUCCCUGAUUGGAUGAGGAGGGAGCAUCUAACCCCAGAAGGGCCAGAGUCCUUGCUGGGGUUUCUAGAAGAGAGAGUAGGGGGCAGGCAGACAGACUGAGGCAGCACGUGGCCGAACUGGGAGAUGUGGGCGGCCAUAUUGGGUGUCACGUGGGCUGAGUCGUAGCCAAAGCUAAAGAAAGGGAACAAAGAGGUCACAGGACGAUCCACAGGAGAGACAACGGGAAAGCUCUUCGGUGGCUUCUCAGCCUCCUGCAGCCCCUGGUUCUGGUCGCUGAGGCUCUGUGCCUCCUAGGAGACAUUGCCCGCUUUUGUUCCAGCAAGCUCACGGUCUUCUCUCACUCACAUCCAUACAAGGGAGAACUAUGCAGCCAAUGUUGUGGAUGAAUAUUUAUUAACAGGAAAAAUGUACACAAGGAUAUUGUUGAGUGCAGGAGGCACGUUUCUUGCCUCCCUUCCACAGAUUCUUAUUGGGCACCUCCUAUGAGUCAGAUGCUCCCUAUUCACUGGGGAGUGAGCUCAUUGUCCCUGUCACAUUUAUGGUCUGGUUACAGAAUGUCAAGUAAGAUCCCACUUUAGUAAAGAGAUGUGCAACUGGCAUGUGAUGGGUUUCACACCUGGGGGAGCAAAUGGAGCGCCUUUAAAACAGUCUCAAAACCAGCGCUGCGCCGAGUGUGGUCUGUGGCCCCCCAGCAGGGGCGUCACCUGGGAGCCUGUGAGAAAUGCACACUUGGCUCCAGCCCAGACCCCUCGGGGGUGGGCCCAGCAAUCUGUGCUUUAACAAGCCUUCCAGGUGAUUCUGAGACACUCUCGAGUUUGAGAACCACUGCCCCAAAAUGCAAAAGUUCAAGGUCCCACCUCCCAAGUUAACAAGAAUUUCCAGCUUUUCCCAGGGCACCCCUUCCCAAAUGCUGUG
Molecule: long non-coding RNA, 2463 nt
Organism: Equus caballus (horse)
Lineage: Eukaryota; Metazoa; Chordata; Mammalia; Perissodactyla; Equidae
Source: Ensembl